CUGUGCUGUACCUGUUCUGAAUGAGUUAUCAUAUGGCGUUUUAGCUGGUUAGCUGAAAUAAAUCUCUUGUCACAUUCCUGACACUCAAAGGUCUCAUGAACCUUUCGAUGCUCCUGGAGAUUUGUUGUUGAGGAACAUUUCUUAUUGCACACUGAACACGUCAGCUUUUUCCUAGAAUUUCCACUAUGAACAUUUUCCUUAUGUUUUUUCAGGGCAUCCUUACUCUUGAACCUCUUCCCGCAGCUAUCUGCCUUGCAUAUGAAUCUGGCAUCCCCUCUGCAUGCCUC
This 287-nucleotide long non-coding RNA is filed under the name Gallus gallus (chicken). The record is from RNAcentral. Lineage: Eukaryota; Metazoa; Chordata; Aves; Galliformes; Phasianidae.